GCUCAAGUCCAAAUUCAAAGGACUUGAGCUUUUUAAUUAAUUAUUCAAACUUCCGCAAAAAUUAUACACUUAGGUUUCAUUUAAUCAACGACUUGAUCGGCAUCCAAUCCGACAACGAUAUCAAUUUCAUUAUUGUCUCUAUGUUGAACUUCGUAUGAAUCUACAAUCUUCUUGGAUGGACUCGCGGCCUAUCAGCUUGUUGGUGAGGUAAUGGCUCACCAAGGCGACGACGGUAGCCGGCCUGAGAGGGUGACCGGCCACACGUGGACUGAGACACGGGUCGACGCGGCCG
RNAcentral lists this ribosomal RNA (292 nucleotides) under uncultured bacterium. Its description in RNAcentral is "partial 16S ribosomal RNA". It matches the Rfam family "Bacterial small subunit ribosomal RNA", at positions 173 to 343 of the family's 1533-position model. The record is from RNAcentral.